RNAcentral lists this ribosomal RNA (854 nucleotides) under Cordyceps javanica. Its description in RNAcentral is "SSU rRNA". It matches the Rfam family "Bacterial small subunit ribosomal RNA", at positions 59 to 951 of the family's 1533-position model. The record is from RNAcentral. Lineage: Eukaryota; Fungi; Ascomycota; Sordariomycetes; Hypocreales; Cordycipitaceae.
UAAUCGAACGUUUUAAUUAAAGCGCAAGCUAAUAAUUAAAAAGUGGUGUACAGGUGAGUAUAAUAAUAUUUUAUGCCGACCUUAGAGUGAAGAUAAAUUCUUCAUAUAAUAAAGGGAUUAAGUAUUCCCGCUUUAAGAGGACGAUAAAUAUUUUCGGGAUAGGUAGUAGUGAAGGUUAUGUCUUCACUAGCCUUAACUCUCGUAGUCGAAACUGAAAGGUUAAUCGACCACAUUGGGUCUGAAAAAAGCCCAAUGCAAGUUAGUACAGCAGUGAGGAAUAUUGGUCAAUGGCCUAACGGCUGAACUGGCAACUUGGAGAAGUGUUAAGUCUUUAUUUUUGUGCUAUAACUUAUGUUAUAGUAUGUUAAGCAAAAAUUAAAGAUUAAAUUAGUAUUGAAUGAAACUUUGUUUAUAUAUCGAUAAUGACGAUAUAUAUAUUAUGUCUUGACCAAUUACGUGCCAGCAGUCGCGGUAAUACGUAAGAGACUAGUGUUAUUCAUCUUAAUUAGGUUUAAAGGGUACUCAAACGGUCUGUUUCUAUUGAAAGACUAGAGUUAUAUAGAAGAAGGUAGUACCUUAAGUGUAGAGAUUAUAUUCGGUUAUACUGGAGGGACUUAGAAAAGGCGUAGGCAACCUUCUAGGUAAUAACUGACGUUGAAGGACGAAGGCAUAGGUCACGAACAGGAUUAGAUACCCAAGUAGUCUUUGCAGUCAAUGAUGAAUGCCAUAGGUUAGAUAAAAAUUUAGUCUAUAAAUGAAAGUGUAAGCAUUUCACCUCAAGAGUAAUGUGGCAACGCAGGAACUGAAAUCACUAGACCGUUUCUGACACCAGUAGUGAAGUAUGUUAUUUAAUC